RNAcentral lists this ribosomal RNA (438 nucleotides) under uncultured bacterium. Its description in RNAcentral is "bacterial SSU rRNA". It matches the Rfam family "Bacterial small subunit ribosomal RNA", at positions 338 to 773 of the family's 1533-position model. The record is from RNAcentral.
CCUACGGGUGGCUGCAGUGAGGAAUAUUGGUCAAUGGACGAGAGUCUGAACCAGCCAAGUAGCGUGAAGGAUGACUGCCCUAUGGGUUGUAAACUUCUUUUAUAUGGGAAUAAAAUGUUCCACGUGUGGGAUUUUGUAUGUACCAUAUGAAUAAGGAUCGGCUAACUCCGUGCCAGCAGCCGCGGUAAUACGGAGGAUCCGAGCGUUAUCCGGAUUUAUUGGGUUUAAAGGGAGCGUAGGCGGGUUGUUAAGUCAGUUGUGAAAGUUUGCGGCUCAACCGUAAAAUUGCAAUUGAUACUGGCAGUCUUGAGUACAGUUGAGGUAGGCGGAAUUCGUGGUGUAGCGGUGAAAUGCUUAGAUAUCACGAAGAACCCCGAUUGCGAAGGCAGCUUACUAAACUGUGACUGACAUUGAUGCUCGAAAGUGUGGGUAUCAAAC